Molecule: transfer RNA, 65 nt
Filed under: Trigonopterus sp. AH-2016
Lineage: Eukaryota; Metazoa; Arthropoda; Insecta; Coleoptera; Curculionidae
Description: tRNA-Cys
Source: RNAcentral
AAUUAUAUAGUCUAAGAGGGAUAUUAAAUUGCAAAUUUAAAGGUAAAUAUUAUAUUUUAUAGUUU